CACUGAAGAGGAGGAGGAGGAGGAGGAGGAGGAAGGCGUGUCCUCCUCCUCCUCCGCCUCCUCCUCCUCCUGCUGCAGA
RNAcentral lists this microRNA precursor (79 nucleotides) under Xyrichtys novacula (pearly razorfish). The record is from RNAcentral. Lineage: Eukaryota; Metazoa; Chordata; Actinopteri; Labriformes; Labridae.